Molecule: small nuclear RNA, 227 nt
Filed under: Lynx canadensis (Canada lynx)
Lineage: Eukaryota; Metazoa; Chordata; Mammalia; Carnivora; Felidae
Description: U2 spliceosomal RNA (ENSLCNG00005004767.1)
Rfam family: U2 spliceosomal RNA (bases 1-89)
Source: Rfam by way of RNAcentral
AUCGCUUCUCGGCCUUUUGGCUAAGAUCAAGUGUAGUCUUUCAGUGAAAACAGCAUGGUGUUUAAAGUAUAUUCUUGGGUAUAUUUCAUCAGCAUGAAGUGUAGAUUGACGUGUAUGAUCUCUGAGAGGAUCUUGAAGAAUUUUAGCUGUACAUUCGCACAUGGGAGAAAGGGAUGGGAUGAUUCUGAGCAUUGAUUUUCAUUAUUUUAUUUUAUUGAAAAAAAUUU